GAUCCAGGUGACAUAAUCACAAACAUCGAUCAAGUGGACGAGGGCUGGUGGCAAGGUCUAGCUCCCAACGGUACUUACGGGCUCUUCCCAGCCAAUUACGUUGAAUUAAUGCAAUAAUUAUGACGCUUGUGCUUGUUCAGUUGCUCAGUUGCAUUUAAUCAAAUUUUUUGACGCAAUAAUUUGUCGAUAUAGGUUAAGUUGAUUUUGAUACCAAAAUUCUAACUUUUAAGUAUAUUCUGGCAUGGCACACUGCUAAAAGUAUUAAUUGAGCACUCAUGCGAUCAUACGUUUUCUUAAAAAGCAACGCAGUGUUUUUGAAUUAUUUAUUAAUAUAGUGAAACUGUCACACGAUGUUUUGGAAGUGUCUGUGUUCACGUCACAAUAAUGCAUGAAUUGACACGUCACGAACUUGACGUUUUAGACAGAAUUUUGGCAACUCUGACACCCCAUAGCGAUCACUUUAGAUGCCUUUGACACUCACGUUUGAAUCACCCCUUGCCUUACACUAUUGUGCAAAAUUUUGUCAAGAACACCCAGAGGUGCUAAGUUAGAGUAAAUGUCGCCAAAGUGUGUCAUAACGAAAUUCGACUUUAAGUAUGCUUUGAUUUAGAAGUAUUUUCGUACGUUGCUUGGUGCCUCCAGAAGUGUCUAGUGUUCCCUUCGCUUUCGCGCCUACUUCGUUCGUUUUAAGUUGCAGCACUGCCAUUCCUAUUUCUGUGCCAACCUUCUCAAGCCAAAACCCUAGCCGGCGGUUUUGUCGACGACUAAUUUCGCUGUUUGUUACUGUGAAUUGAACUAGAUAUAAAAUUUAAAAAUAGUUAUACCGUUGAUAAAUCAUAAUUUUUAUAUAUUAUUAUACAUUAUACUUACGUUACGAGGUAUGAUAUACAUUUACAUAUACAUAAAGAUUGUUAGUUAAGAAACGACUUUAGCACAAAUUAACUUUCCACAAGACUUACGAUCGUUUGCACCCUUUAUAUAAAUCUUUACUUUGUGAUAUGCCUUUUUCUUGAAAUCAAUACUCCCUAGCUUUGAACCAGCAGGCCCAGAAUAGAGGUUAGUUUUUCAAAACUAAAAAAUGACAAUUGACGACGUGAAGAAAAAAUUAGAAGGUUAUAUGAAGAACUGGUAGAGAGAACCAACAACCAAUAGGU
This is a long non-coding RNA of Zophobas morio, 1154 nucleotides long. RefSeq lists it as uncharacterized. The record is from RefSeq and is a predicted model, not a curated record. The transcript has 2 exons. NCBI's taxonomy places the organism in Eukaryota, Metazoa, Arthropoda, Insecta, Coleoptera, Tenebrionidae.